Molecule: ribosomal RNA, 465 nt
Filed under: uncultured bacterium
Lineage: Bacteria
Description: partial 16S ribosomal RNA
Rfam family: Bacterial small subunit ribosomal RNA
Source: RNAcentral
AAUGAACGUUGGCGGCGUGGAUUAGGCAUGCAAGUCAAGCGAGAACCCCGCAAGGGGGGACAGCGGCGAAAGGGACAGUAAUGUGUAGAUUAUCUGCCCUCAGGUCCGGGAUAGCUGCGGGAAACUGCAGGUAAUACCGGAUAACAUCUCCGGAUCAAAGGUGUGAUUCCGCCUGAGGAUGAGUCUGCAUCCUAUUAGCUAGUUGGUGGGGUAAUGGCCUACCAAGGCAUUGAUGGGUAGCAGGUGUGAGAGCACGACCUGCGUCAUUGGGACUGAGACACUGCCCAGACACCUACGGGUGGCUGCAGUCGAGAAUCUUCGGCAAUGGGCGCAAGCCUGACCGAGCGACGCCGCGUGUGGGAUGAAGGCCUUCGGGUUGUAAACCACUGUCAGAGGGGAUGAAAUGCAGGUGGGUUCUCCCAUCUGUUUGACAUAGCCUCAGAGGAAGGACGGGCUAAGUUCGUG